This 835-nucleotide ribosomal RNA is filed under the name uncultured Micrococcineae bacterium. Its description in RNAcentral is "bacterial SSU rRNA". It matches the Rfam family "Bacterial small subunit ribosomal RNA", at positions 61 to 911 of the family's 1533-position model. The record is from RNAcentral. Lineage: Bacteria; Bacillati; Actinomycetota; Actinomycetes; Micrococcales.
GUCGAGCGAUGAAGCACCUUCGGGUGUGAAUUAGCGGCGAACGGGUGAGGAACACGUGAAGAAUCUGCCUUCAACUCUGGGAUAACUCCGGGAAACCGGGGCUAAUACCGGAUAUGAGCCUUGAUCGCAUGAUCGGGGCUGGAAAGUUUUUCGGUUGAAGAUGACUUCGCGGCCUAUCAGCUUGUUGGUGAGGUAAUGGCUCACCAAGGCGACGACGGGUAGCCGGCCUGAGAGGGCGACCGGCCACACUGGGACUGAGACACGGCCCAGACUCCUACGGGAGGCAGCAGUGGGGAAUAUUGGGCAAUGGAGGAAACUCUGACCCAGCGACGCCGCGUGAGGGAUGAAGGCCUUCGGGUUGUAAACCUCUUUCAGUAGGGAAGAAGCGAAAGUGACGGUACCUACAGAAGAAGCACCGGCUAACUAUGUGCCAGCAGCCGCGGUAAUACAUAGGGUGCAAGCGUUGUCCGGAGUUAUUGGGCGUAAAGAGCUCGUAGGUGGUUCGUCACGUCGGAUGUGAAACUCUGGGGCUUAACUCCAGACCUGCAUUCGAUACGGGCGAGCUUGAGUAUGGUAGGGGAGUCUGGAAUUCCUGGUGUAGCGGUGGAAUGCGCAGAUAUCAGGAGGAACACCAAUGGCGAAGGCAGGACUCUGGGCCAUUACUGACACUGAGGAGCGAAAGCGUGGGGAGCGAACAGGAUUAGAUACCCUGGUAGUCCACGCCGUAAACGGUGGGCACUAGUUGUGGGGACCUUCCACGGUCUCUGCGACGCAGCUAACGCAUUAAGUGCCCCGCCUGGGGAGUACGAUCGCAAGAUUAAAACUCAAAGGAAUU